RNAcentral lists this ribosomal RNA (502 nucleotides) under Glaucias nigromarginatus. RNAcentral describes it as "partial large subunit ribosomal RNA". It matches the Rfam family "Bacterial large subunit ribosomal RNA", at positions 1837 to 2594 of the family's 2925-position model. Lineage: Eukaryota; Metazoa; Arthropoda; Insecta; Hemiptera; Pentatomidae. The record is from RNAcentral.
GCUGUUAAAUAUUAGGUCUAACCUGCUCAAUGAUUUAUAAUUAAAUAGCCGCAGUAUUUUGACUGUGCGAAGGUAGCAUAAUCACUUGUCUUUUAAUUGAAGGCUUGAAUGAAUGGUUGGAUGUGGGAAUGUCUUUCUUUAUAUUAUAAAAUUUAAUUUAAUUUUUAGGUUAAAAAGCUUAAAUAAUUAAGUGGGACGAGAAGACCCUAUAGAAUUUUAUUUUUUUUCUUCAUUAAAUAUUUUUUGUUUAUGAUUUUUUUAUUUAGAAGCAAAUUUUGUUGGGGUGACAUUGAGAUUUUUAUAACUCUCAUAUUUUAUUUGUUUAUUCAUUUUUAUAUUUAAAAUCCUGUAUUAUGGAAUUUAGAUUAAAUUACCUUAGGGAUAACAGCGUAAUUUUUUUGGAGAGUUCUUAUCGAUGGAAAAGUUUGCGACCUCGAUGUUGGAUUAAAAUUAGAUUUAAGUGCAGAAGCUUAAUUUUCUAGGUCUGUUCGACCUUUAAAUU